RNAcentral lists this transfer RNA (72 nucleotides) under Camelus bactrianus (Bactrian camel). It matches the Rfam family "tRNA". From Rfam's summary of the family: Transfer RNA (tRNA) molecules are approximately 80 nucleotides in length. Lineage: Eukaryota; Metazoa; Chordata; Mammalia; Artiodactyla; Camelidae. The record is from Rfam by way of RNAcentral. RNAcentral also lists the same sequence under 2 other names.
GAGGGGAUAGCUCAGUGGUAGAGCGUAUACUUAGCAUGCAGGAGGUCCUGGGUUCAAGCCCCAGUACCACCA